GACGAACCGUGCAAACGUUAUUCGGAUUCACUGGGUUUAAAGGGUGCGUAGGCGGGUAAGUAAGUCCGUGGUGAAAUCUCUGAGCUUAACUCAGAAACUGCCGUGGAUACUAUUUGCCUUGAAUAUUGUGGAGGUGAGCGGAAUAUGUCAUGUAGCGGUGAAAUGCUUAGAUAUGACAUAGAACACCAAUUGCGAAGGCAGCUCACUACACAAUCAUUGACGCUGAGGCACGAAAGCGUGGGGAUCAAACAGG
RNAcentral lists this ribosomal RNA (253 nucleotides) under uncultured bacterium. RNAcentral describes it as "partial 16S ribosomal RNA". It matches the Rfam family "Bacterial small subunit ribosomal RNA", at positions 524 to 776 of the family's 1533-position model. The record is from RNAcentral.